CCUACGGGUGGCAGCAGUGAGGAAUAUUGGUCAAUGGGCGGAAGCCUGAACCAGCCAAGUCGCGUGAGGGAAUAAGGCCCUACGGGUCGUAAACCUCUUUUGCCGGGGAGCAAGGGCCGGGACGCGUCCCGGCCCGGAGAGUACCCGGAGAAAAAGCCUCGGCUAACUCCGUGCCAGCAGCCGCGGGAAUACGGAGGAUGCGAGCGUUAUCCGGAUUUAUUGGGGUUAAAGGGUGCGUAGGCGGGCUGUUAAGUCAGCGGUAAAAAUUCGGGGCUCAACCCGGGCCGGCCGUUGACACUGGGGGCCUGGAGUGGGCGAGAAGAAGGCGGAAUGCGUGGUGUAGCGGUGAAAUGCAUAGAUAUCACGCAGAACCCCGAUUGCGAAGGCAGCCUGCCGGCGCCCUACUGACGCUGAGGCACGAAAGUGCGGGGAUCGAACAGGAUUAGAUACCCGGGUAGUC
RNAcentral lists this ribosomal RNA (460 nucleotides) under uncultured bacterium. RNAcentral describes it as "partial 16S ribosomal RNA". It matches the Rfam family "Bacterial small subunit ribosomal RNA", at positions 338 to 795 of the family's 1533-position model. The record is from RNAcentral.